RNAcentral lists this ribosomal RNA (407 nucleotides) under uncultured bacterium. RNAcentral describes it as "partial 16S ribosomal RNA". It matches the Rfam family "Bacterial small subunit ribosomal RNA", at positions 30 to 526 of the family's 1533-position model. The record is from RNAcentral.
AUUGAACGCUGGCGGCAGGCCUAACACAUGCAAGUCGAGCGGAGCGGCGGACGGGUGAGUAAUGCCUAGGAAUCUGCCUGGUAGUGGGGGAUAACGUCCGGUAACGGGCGCUAAUACCGCUUACUCUCAGAUGAGCCUAGGUCGGAUUAGCGAGUUGGUGGGGUAAAGGCCUACCAAGGCGACGAUCCGUAACUGGUCUGAGAGGAUGAUCAGUCACACUGGAACUGAGACACGGUCCAGACUCCUACGGGAGGCAGCAGUGGGGAAUAUUGGACAAUGGGCGAAAUCCUGAUCCAGCCAUGCCGCGUGUGUGAAGAAGGUCUUCGGAUUGUAAAGUACUUUCAGUAGGGAGGCGUUACCGGCAGAAGAAGCACCGGCUAACUCCGUGCCAGCAGCCGCGGUAAUUC